Molecule: long non-coding RNA, 587 nt
Organism: Tupaia belangeri chinensis (Chinese tree shrew)
Lineage: Eukaryota; Metazoa; Chordata; Mammalia; Scandentia; Tupaiidae
Exons: 3
Source: RefSeq, a predicted model, not a curated record
CUGGCUGGGCAGAGUGUGGAGCUGUUGAUUGCUUUGAGUGUCUCCAGUAAAUGACCCCAAUUUCACCUGAAAGUUAACCUUUCCCACCCACUCCUCUGUGUGGUCUCAGCUACUCCCACUCUAGGUCCAGAAGGGGCACGAGGGACCAGGCUGAGCCAACUAGAGCAGCACAUUUUCCAAUCCCUUGUAACCGGCUUGGGGGAAGAUGCAUAAUCUAAGUGGACUGGAUCACAGAGAAACUCAGGACUUUGGUCUGAGUGAUCUCCUAAGGAGGAACUUAAACCUGGGUAGGUGUGAGAAACUGCUUGUCUCCACCAGCAAGCUGCCAUCUAAGAAAGGUCCUUGGAGAGGAAAUGGCGUCCCGAGAAGGCAUUGCACAGCAGUACCCUACCAGAUGCACCCCUGUGGCCGGACUUUACUGACCUUUUCGAUGAAGAUUUUCAGUGAAGAGGACCUGGCUCCUGGAAGAUUCCAGCCUUUGCCCGCUGCAGAUAUAUCAUCCUAGAACUUGAAUCAUCUCUGGUGUUGAGCAAUUUGCCAAUGUCCGUGACCAGCUAAGGAGAUUUAAAUGCUCAAUUGCCUCGUAA